ACGGCUCAGUAACACGUGGACAACCUACCCUCAGCACGGGGAUAAACCCGGGAAACUGGGUAUAAUACCCGAUAGUUCUGGUUAGCUGGAAUGCUUCCAGGACGAAAGCUCCGGCGACUGAGGAUGGGUCUGCGGCCUAUCAGGUAGUAGUGGGUGUAAUGUACCUACUAGCCUACGACGGGUACGGGUCGUGAGAGCGAGAGCCCGGAGAUGGAUUCUGAGACACGAAUCCAGGCCCUACGGGGUGCAGCAGGCGCGAAAACUUUACAAUGCUGGCAACAGCGAUAAGGGGACCUCGAGUGCCAGGAUACAAUCUUGGCUGUCGUAAUGCCUAAAAAGCAUUGCAUAGCAAGGGCCGGGCAAGACCGGUGCCAGCCGCCGCGGUAACACCGGCGGCUCGAGUGGUAACCGCUAUUAUUGGGUCUAAAGGGUCUGUAGCCGGCCGGAUAAGUCUUUUGGGAAAUCCAGCAGCUCAACUGUUGGGCUUUCAGAAGAUACUGUUCGGCUCGAGGCCGGGAGAGGUGAGAGGUACUUCAGGGGUAGGGGUGAAAUCUUGUAAUCCUUGAAGGACCACCAGUGGCGAAGGCGUCUCACCAGAACGGAUCUGACGGCAAGGGACGAAAGCUAGGGGCACGAACCGGAUUAGAUACCCGGGUAGUCCUAGCCGUAAACGAUACUCGCUAGGUGUCGGCCACGGUGCGACCGUGGUCGGUGCCGUAGGGAAGCCGUGAAGCGAGCCACCUGGGAAGUACGGCCGCAAGGCUGAAACUUAAAGGAAUUGGCGGGGGAG
Molecule: ribosomal RNA, 790 nt
Filed under: uncultured archaeon
Lineage: Archaea
Description: bacterial SSU rRNA
Rfam family: Archaeal small subunit ribosomal RNA
Source: RNAcentral